Molecule: ribosomal RNA, 265 nt
Filed under: uncultured archaeon
Lineage: Archaea
Description: partial 16S ribosomal RNA
Rfam family: Archaeal small subunit ribosomal RNA
Source: RNAcentral
CCACGACUACAUUAGAUACCCGCGUAGUCCUAGCCGUAAACGAUACUCGCUAGGUGUCGGCCACGGUGCGACCGUUGUCGGUGCCGUAGGGAAGCCGUGAAGCGAGCCACCUGGGAAGUACGGCCGCAAGGCUGAAACUUAAAGGAAUUGGCGGGGGAGCACAACAACGGGUGGAGCUUGCGGUUUAAUUGGAUUCAACGCCGGAAAUCUUACCGGGACCGACAGCAACAUGAAGGCCAAGCUGAAGACUUUGCCGGAUUAGCUG